GACGAACGCUGGCGGCGUGCUUAACACAUGCAAGUCGAACGGAAAGGCCCUGCUUUUGUGGGGUGCUCGAGUGGCGAACGGGUGAGUAACACGUGAGUAACCUGCCCUUGACUUUGGGAUAACUUCAGGAAACUGGGGCUAAUACCGGAUAGGAGCUCCUGCUGCAUGGUGGGGGUUGGAAAGUUUCGGCGGUUGGGGAUGGACUCGCGGCUUAUCAGCUUGUUGGUGGGGUAGUGGCUUACCAAGGCUUUGACGGGUAGCCGGCCUGAGAGGGUGACCGGCCACAUUGGGACUGAGAUACGGCCCAGACUCCUACGGGAGGCAGCAGUGGGGAAUAUUGCACAAUGGGCGGAAGCCUGAUGCAGCAACGCCGCGUGCGGGAUGACGGCCUUCGGGUUGUAGACCGCUUUCGCCUGUGACGAAGCGUGAGUGACGGGAAUGGGUAAAGAAGCACCGGCUAACUACG
RNAcentral lists this ribosomal RNA (466 nucleotides) under uncultured bacterium. Its description in RNAcentral is "partial 16S ribosomal RNA". It matches the Rfam family "Bacterial small subunit ribosomal RNA", at positions 28 to 505 of the family's 1533-position model. The record is from RNAcentral.